This is a long non-coding RNA of Homo sapiens (human), 962 nucleotides long. Ensembl annotates it as SOX5 antisense RNA 1. Its record names the gene SOX5-AS1. Lineage: Eukaryota; Metazoa; Chordata; Mammalia; Primates; Hominidae. The record is from Ensembl.
AGAAUAGAAAAGCAGCAUUCUGAACAGCAAUGCUCAUCACAUAAACAUGAAGUUUCCUCCAAAAGGAAUGAUGACUAAUGCUUUGAGGAAACAGCAGACGUCAGACAGCAAGCCCAGAAAAACCUGCCAGCACCAAGAGGGUGUCCUCAACAGGCGCCUGGGGGACAUAUUAUUCUAACUAAAGAGACCAGAGCUUCCCCAGGAAGGGAAGAGGAGAGAAAUGAAGAACGUCUGUGUUCAUGUUUGCCAAAAACAAAAGUCUGAGAAAUCUCUGAGAGACUCUACAUGGGAGCAUCAAGCACAAAUGAUGAUCUCCUAGGACAGUGGCAGCUUCUGAGAAUGCACAGGAAAGUGACCAGGGAAAGAAUGAUUCCAUCUCCAGGAAUCCCUGGUGAUCUUCAGAGCCCAGACAGGACCCUGCUGGGCCAUGGUAACUGAGAAACUGAGAAGCAGAUACAGUGGUCCCUAUGUUGGCAACCUCAGCUGAAGAGGAACAACUCUCUCUAUAAUCAAGGACUUCUGAAACCAGAAAUCACCAGCGUGGGGAGAGAACAUUAAAGGCAGAGGUGUCUCUUAUAAGCACAACGUGUGACCAGCCGAUGUCCCAAGUAUAUAUGUUUGAUGAGGGUACAGAAGACAUAAGGAAUAAAACUGCAUUGCCACAGAGGGAAUACACGGCUCCAGAUACAAGGCUUUAUGCUAAUUUUAGCAAAAUAACUUGGAUUACUGUCAGCUUCUAGUGUCUCCAUCAUUCAUAAUUGCACUGUGUUGGUCCACCCACUUUACUCCUAAAGAAGAGGUAAGAAACAGAAGAGGAGAUCACAGUGGCUCUUCAACUAUUAAUAUACCACAGACUUCAAUAACAAAUGAAGAGAAACAAGAAAAGAAAGCAAUGCAAAAAGAACGGUACUGCCCUCUUUCUCUCCUGAACCAUCAAUAAAUCAAGGGUAGAUAAUAGCCUA